GACGAACGCUGGCGGCGUGCUUAACACAUGCAAGUCGAACGGAAAGGCCCUGCUUUUGUGGGGUGCUCGAGUGGCGAACGGGUGAGUAACACGUGAGUAACCUGCCCUUGACUUUGGGAUAACUUCAGGAAACUGGGGCUAAUACCGGAUAGGAGCUCCUGCUGCAUGGUGGGGGUUGGAAAGUUUCGGCGGUUGGGGAUGGACUCGCGGCUUAUCAGCUUGUUGGUGGGGUAGUGGCUUACCAAGGCUUUGACGGGUAGCCGGCCUGGGAGGGUGACCGGCCACAUGGGGACUGCGAUACGGCCCAGAAUCCUACGGGAGGCAGCAGUGGGGAAUAUUGCACAAUGGGCGGAAGCCUGAUGCAGCAACGCCGCGUGCGGGAUGACGGCCUUCGGGUUGUAAACCGCUUUCGCCUGUGACGAAGCGUGAGUGACGGUAAUGGGUAAAGAAGCACCGGCUAACUACGUG
RNAcentral lists this ribosomal RNA (468 nucleotides) under uncultured bacterium. RNAcentral describes it as "partial 16S ribosomal RNA". It matches the Rfam family "Bacterial small subunit ribosomal RNA", at positions 28 to 507 of the family's 1533-position model. The record is from RNAcentral.